RNAcentral lists this transfer RNA (77 nucleotides) under Burkholderiales bacterium. RNAcentral describes it as "tRNA-Ile". It matches the Rfam family "tRNA". From Rfam's summary of the family: Transfer RNA (tRNA) molecules are approximately 80 nucleotides in length. Their secondary structure includes four short double-helical elements and three loops (D, anti-codon, and T loops). Further hydrogen bonds mediate the characteristic L-shaped molecular structure. tRNAs have two regions of fundamental functional importance: the anti-codon, which is responsible for specific mRNA codon recognition, and the 3' end, to which the tRNAs corresponding amino acid is attached (by aminoacyl-tRNA synthetases). tRNAs cope with the degeneracy of the genetic code in two manners: having more than one tRNA (with a specific anti-codon) for a particular amino acid; and 'wobble' base-pairing, i.e. permitting non-standard base-pairing at the 3rd anti-codon position. Lineage: Bacteria; Pseudomonadati; Pseudomonadota; Betaproteobacteria; Burkholderiales. The record is from RNAcentral. RNAcentral also lists the same sequence under 3 other names.
GGGAUCUUAGCUCAGUUGGUUAGAGCAGCGGACUCAUAAUCCGUUGGUCACUGGUUCGAGUCCAGUAGGUCCCACCA